GAAUUUUCGGUUUUAUACGCUGACUUUGAUUUGAAAGGAAAAACCAAUGAAUGAAUUACUUUGUUGUUUAAGAAAUGCCAAGUUAGAUGCAGCCCUGCAACAACUUACAAAGCUGUGUGAGUUAACCUUGAUUCUUCCAGCCACUAGUGCCUCAGUUGAGCACUCUUUCUCUUACACCAGAAAUGCGCAACGACAAGAAAGACUUGUAAGUUUAGCAUUAAUAUCGCGAUUGAGAAAAAGCUUCUUAAGGAAAUAAAGACUGAUAGUUUCUAUGAAGAUGUAACAAAUUUAUCCAAUCAAAAGGAAAGGAGGAUGGAAUUAACAAAUAAAUAAACAAACAUGUCUGAAAUGUCAAAGUUGGCAAUGGUGGAGUUUGUGGAAGAGAAAAGUGUGGAGGUGGUCCCAUUGCUGUGGACUGAAGGAAGUUCAAAGAAAAUUGGAAAGGAGACAACGAUUGAGGAAAGAGGAACUGGUAAAAUACCAAUAGAAACUGAAGCCAAAGUAACUGCCUUAACUGAAGAUAACCAAGAAAUGGACAAUAAGGACAAAGAUGAAGCAGUGAAAGUGAUUGAAGUACACACAGAUAUUAAUACCAUAGAUGCUGAAAUGACAGAGAAAAAAAACCACCAGAAAUUUCUCUUGCUGGAAAAACUUGACUUGGUGCCUAUAACAAGUGGAGAGUGGGUAAGGAAGAAGACUUAUUACUGAAAUAUCUCAUUUAGAACCUAGGAGUACUACAUUAGUGUGUAAGCAGGUUGGUCCAUGUACCAACUUGCAUCAAAUAACAAGUGUUUUGGAUUCUCCCAAAGACUGGUUACAUGAUAUUAAUCGUUGCCAAUAUCUAUUGCAUGUUCAGUUUCCAGGAUGUUUGCAUCAUCACAGCAGAAAUAACUAACCAUUCAGCAGUCAGUACAUCAGCUGGUGAAUUUAUCCAGAUUGUUAAUAUUAAUAAAAAUCACUAGAUAACUUUGUCAAAUACGAAUUAUGUGAAAGGAACAAUUCAUGUGCAUGAUGGCCUAGGAUAUAGUGCAGCAAAUUGGCAGCUACCGAAGUAGAUAGCCCGACUUCUUGAUGCUCAAGUAAAUUCAGUUGUCAUAAACAGGGAAGUUCUAAUUACUGUGGUCUUUUUACUACUGCUGUAGCUGCUUUGCUAUGGCACUCCAACACAGCUUUAUUUGGGACCAGUCCAAAAAAUGAGGCAAUACGUGAAGACGUGUUUUGCAAAGGAUAGGAUGGCACUAUGUCAGUUAAUUAAGGUGAAACAAAAAAUCAAUUUCGGAGGAUACCAUCGCUGAAAGGGAAGAAUAAAGGCCAUUAAAAAAGAAAAGAAAAGACUUGUAAUUUGUGUUUAUUGUAUAAAAUAUCAUACCAUGUCUUAUGUCUUUCUGUUUUUAAACAGUCAUGCAGUGAAAUAAAUUGCAUUCCCUUUAACAGUAGUAAA
Limulus polyphemus (Atlantic horseshoe crab) is the source of this 1441-nucleotide RNA transcript. RefSeq lists it as uncharacterized. The transcript is spliced from 5 exons. Lineage: Eukaryota; Metazoa; Arthropoda; Merostomata; Xiphosura; Limulidae. The record is from RefSeq and is a predicted model, not a curated record.